This 999-nucleotide ribosomal RNA is filed under the name Triticum aestivum (bread wheat). RNAcentral's name for it is "partial small subunit ribosomal RNA". Lineage: Eukaryota; Viridiplantae; Streptophyta; Magnoliopsida; Poales; Poaceae. The record is from RNAcentral.
AUGGCGUGCCACUGGAGCGCAGCGCUGCUGUGGCUGUGGGCGGCUCUGCUGCUGCGCCUCGCGGCCGUGGGCAAGCCGCCCGCGGUGGUGGCCGGGCCGGUGUCCCGGGCGGAGGAGGCGAGGCUGUUCCACAUGUACUACGGGCAGGGCUUCAAGGUCAUCAAGAACGCCUGGGACGGCAAGAGCUAUCUCCUCAUGCAGCUACUUGGGGUGCUGGAGAACUUGAAAGGGAUAACAUCACCUCAGGUGGCUUCUCAGUGCGUGCUCCAGGCAUAUGCAACUGGAAAUGUUCAGCUUGUCAACAGGACAGACACAGGUUGCAACUUCACAGCCUACGUACCCUUCAAAGAGGACACUCCGUUGCAGAGGGCCAAGUGGAUUAAAUACCUGGGAACGUUCACGAACUCCGAAGACAGGGCCAAUGCAGUAUAUGAUGCAUUGUGCUUAAGCAAAGCAGCUGCUGCCCUAAGCAUCCGAUUCAAACCUAUAGUAGCAUGGGUUGAAUUCACAGAGGGAGUAUGGACAUUUGUCAGAGAAAGCUACAAGUUACAGAUAGCAUCACUUCGUACGGUGGAUGUGGUCAUAGAUCAGACAUAUGCCUCGGAUCCUGCAGAGUACAAGCUAUCCACAUUUUUGGACAAUAUUGAUGUGGGCCGUGACUCUUGUUUCAGUUUCAUAACUAACCAAAGCAUAUGGAGAUUUGAUAAAAGAAUAGGAAAUUCCAAGACACUUGAUUGGUCAGAUGGAGCUAUCUCGCAGCCCCAGUUGGUUCUUGCUGAUCAGAUAGAAGUUUUCUUCCGAACGGGGAACUACACAACAGUUUACUUCAGGAACCUUGCAAAGAUAUGCGCUAUAUUUUCUCCAGGCUAUCUUUUUCCUUAUAUUGAAUUAAACCACAUUAUAACUAUUCAGGAAGAAGGGGUCACAGAAAUUGGCCCUGAAAUGUGCACUAGGAGCAUAUCCACGGCCAUGGAGCCUACGAUCCUGCCCUGCCAAUGA